GGAUUAGAUACCCUGGUAGUCUACGCUGUAAACGAUGAGUGCUAGGUAUUGGAGCUUUAAAGCUUCGGUUCCGCAGUUAACACGUUAAGCACUCCGCCUGGAGACUACGGUCGCAAGACUAAAACUUAAAGGAAUUGACGGGGGCCCGCACAAGCGGUGGAGCAUGCGGUUUAAUUCGAUAUUACGCGAAAAACCUUACCAACUCUUGACAUGAUAACAGUAAACGUAGAGAUAUGUUUGUCAGUUAGGCUGGGUUAUCACAGGUGCUGCAUGGCUGUCGUCAGCUCGUGCCG
This 293-nucleotide ribosomal RNA is filed under the name uncultured bacterium. RNAcentral's name for it is "partial 16S ribosomal RNA". It matches the Rfam family "Bacterial small subunit ribosomal RNA", at positions 775 to 1067 of the family's 1533-position model. The record is from RNAcentral.